CAGCCGUAAACUAUGCUCGCUAGGUGUCAGGCAUGGCGCGACCGUGUCUGGUGCCGCAGGGAAGCCGUGAAGCGAGCCACCUGGGAAGUACGGCCGCAAGGCUGAACUUAAGGAUUGGCCGGGGGAGCACAACAACGGGUGGAGCCUGCGGUUUAAUUGGACUCAACGCCGGACAACUCACCGGGGACGACAGCAAUAUGUAGGCCAGGCUGAAGACCUUGCCUGAAUCGCUGAGAGGAGGUGCAUGGCGUAGACGUCU
This 259-nucleotide ribosomal RNA is filed under the name uncultured archaeon. RNAcentral describes it as "partial 16S ribosomal RNA". It matches the Rfam family "Archaeal small subunit ribosomal RNA", at positions 748 to 1009 of the family's 1478-position model. The record is from RNAcentral.